AGGGGAUGCUGAGGGGAUUUCCCGGGGUUCCCAAGGAUGUCUGGGGGUCCCAGGGGCUCUCAGAAAUGUCUGGGGGGCUCCAAAGGAUGCUCUGAGGUCCCGGGGAUGUUGUGGAAUGUGCCGGGAGUUCCCAAGGAUGCUGAAGAUGCACCUGGGGCUCUCAGGGGUGCCUGGGGGUCCCAGGGAAGCACCUGGGGGGUCUCAGAGGGGUCCCAGGGAUGCUGGAAAAUGCACUUGGGAGCUCCCAAGGAUGUCUGAGGGUCCCAGGGAUGCUGAGGAUGCGUUUGGAGGUCCCAGUGAUGCCGAGGGAAGCGCCUGCGGUUCCCACGAGUGCCCGGGGGUCCCGGACCCCCAUCUCACCCCCCGCUCCCCACAGCGCUGCCUGCAGCGGAUCCACCAAGCGCUCCAGCACUACCGGGACCUGCUGGGCUCCGACAUCUUCCAGGACCAGCCCCAGCCCCAGCUGGAGACCACGAUGGAGCAGCUGCUGCGCCACGUCCAGGAGGGGCACGGCCGCCCCCCCCGGCACCCCCUGGCCCCCACCGCGGUCUGGGCGCGGCACCUGGCGCGGCACCUGGCGCUGAAGCGGCUCCGCUCCUUCGCCGCCGUCAUCAGCCGCGUCUUCAACCACAGCGCCCGCUGAGCCCUCCGGACACCGCCCCCAGCCCUUAUUUAUUCCCCCUCGCCGAGGGGUUAUUUAUGAUGUGUUAUUCCCCCUAUUUAUCUCGGGUAUUUAUGAGUUUCUAAUAAAGCUCCGACGGAGACGAGCGAGCGGCUCAAGGGGCAGCGCGGCCAGCGGGUGGGAAGGGGUUUAUUUACAGGGAGAGGGGUGGGAAGGGGUUUAUUUACAGGGAGGGGUCACUGGAAGUCGCUGGCGUCGAUGUGGAGCGGGGGAAAGUCGGUGGAGGAGAAGAGGGAGGGGGCGGCGGGCAGGGCCAGCUCCUCGGACUGCGGCAGGAACGGGUCGUGGUGGUCCAGGAGAGCGGCGCUGCCUGGGGUGGGGACAGGGAGGUGCCAGGGGACAGCUCAGUGCCCAGGGGACAGCUCUGUGCCCCGAGUGUGCCCAGGGGACAGGACAGUGCCCAGGGGACAGGGAGGUGCCAGAGGACACCUCAGUGCCCAGAGUGUGCCCAGGGGACAGCUCAGAGCCCAGGGGACAGGGAGGUGCCCAGAGUGUGCCCAGGGGACAGCCCAGUGCUCAGGGGACACCUCAGUGCCCAGAGUGUGCCCAGGGGACAGGACAGUGCCCAGGGGACAGCUCAGAGCCCAGGGGACAGGACAGUGCCCAGGGGACAGCUCAGAGCCGAGAGUGUGCCCAGGAGACACCUCAGUGCCCAGGGGACAGCCCAGUGCCCAGGGGACACCUCAGUGCCCAGGGGACAGCCCAGUGCCCAGGGGACAACUCAGUGCCCAGGGGACAGCUCAGUGCCCAGAGUGUGCCCAGGGGACAGCUCAGUGCCCAGAGGACACCUCAGUGCUCAGGGGACACCUCUGUCCCCACCACCCCAGCCCCCACACUCACCGGGGCUCAGCUGGAAACUCUCCUCGAAGGUUUCCAUGUUCGGCAUCAGCUCCGCCAGUUCCAGCGUCUCCAGAGUCCCCGAGCCCAGGUCCGGCCCCUCCAGCGACUGCAGCAGCUCCUGCAUGUCCUGGCUGCCCGGCAGCAGCUCCAGGUCCCUCAGCUCCGGUGGCAGUGUCCCCUGCUCCUCGGGGAGCCGCGGUGGCUCCGCAGCCCCCGGCACCGGCUGCAGCGUCCCCGUGUCCACAGCCACUGUCCCCUGCUCCCCCCGCAGCAGCUGCAGGCUCCCCACGCCCCCUGAGCCCACCUGCAGCAUCCCCA
Long non-coding RNA from Parus major (Great Tit), 1840 nucleotides. The record is from Ensembl. Lineage: Eukaryota; Metazoa; Chordata; Aves; Passeriformes; Paridae.